RNAcentral lists this ribosomal RNA (519 nucleotides) under uncultured eukaryote. Its description in RNAcentral is "SSU rRNA". It matches the Rfam family "Eukaryotic small subunit ribosomal RNA", at positions 1160 to 1704 of the family's 1831-position model. The record is from RNAcentral.
AAGGGCACCACCGGGUGUGGAGCCUGCGGAGGGUUUUUCUGAGCUUGGGAAAACUCACCCGGCCCGGACACCGUGAGGAUUGACAGAUUGAGAGCUCUUUCUUGAUUCGGUGGUUGGUGGUGCAUGGCCGUUCUUAGUUGGUGGAGCGAUUUGUCUGGUUUAUUCCGAUAACGAACGAGACUCUGGCCUACUAAAUAGUGACAGGAUUAUUACUGUCUUGGAUACUUCUUAGAGGGACAAGUGGUUUUCAGCCACACGAAAUUGAGCAAUAACAGGUCUGUGAUGCCCUUAGAUGUCCGGGGCUGCACGCGCGCUACACUGAAGGAAUCAGCGUGCUAAAACCAUUGUCGAAAGGCAUUGGUAAACCCAUUAAAAUCCUACGUGAUUGGGAUCGGGAAUUGCAAUUAUUUCCCUUGAACGAGGAAUUCCCAGUAAGUGUGGGUCAUAAGCUCGCGUUGAUUACGUCCCUGCCCUUUGUACACACCGCCCGUCGCUGCCCGGGACUGAGCCGUUUCGAGA